AUCCAUUACCACAACUCUGUCAACUACCACAGCAACAUCAUCCACUGCAAGUAAAACAUCAGCAACACAAACUAAGAAGACAUCAGUGGACAGACAAACACCUACAAACAACAACAAUCCAUCACAACAAGCAGGUUCAUCAUGGCCGUAUGUUGUUGUAUCUUUGGGUUUUGCAGCUUUUUUUUUAACUGUUGUUGUGAUCAUCAAGUGGAAGAAAACUAAAGG
Melanotaenia boesemani (Boeseman's rainbowfish) is the source of this 225-nucleotide long non-coding RNA. RefSeq lists it as uncharacterized. Lineage: Eukaryota; Metazoa; Chordata; Actinopteri; Atheriniformes; Melanotaeniidae. The transcript has 2 exons. The record is from RefSeq and is a predicted model, not a curated record.